RNAcentral lists this ribosomal RNA (436 nucleotides) under uncultured bacterium. RNAcentral describes it as "partial 16S ribosomal RNA". It matches the Rfam family "Bacterial small subunit ribosomal RNA", at positions 29 to 507 of the family's 1533-position model. The record is from RNAcentral.
AACGAACGCUGGCGGCAUGCCUAACACAUGCAAGUCGAACGAGAUCCUUCGGGGUCUAGUGGCGCACGGGUGCGUAACGCGUGGGAAUCUGCCCUUAGGUUCGGAAUAACAGUUAGAAAUGACUGCUAAUACCGGAUGAUGACGUUAAGUCCAAAGAUUUAUCGCCUGAGGAUGAGCCCGCGUAGGAUUAGCUAGUUGGUGUGGUAAAGGCGCACCAAGGCGACGAUCCUUAGCUGGUCUGAGAGGAUGAUCAGCCACACUGGGACUGAGACACGGCCCAGACUCCUACGGGAGGCAGCAGUGGGGAAUAUUGGACAAUGGGCGCAAGCCUGAUCCAGCAGUGCCGCGUGAGUGAUGAAGGCCUUAGGGUUGUAAAGCUCUUUUACCCGGGAUGAUAAUGACAGUACCGGGAGAAUAAGCCCCGGCUAACUCCGUG